AUUCGGUGCUUGGGUUGUGGUCUCUAUGACAACCAGCUGUCUGUAAUUAGUAAAUCAAGCCUGGGCGAGGCUUUGGACACUCAGAGUGGCUGCAGAAAGAAGUCAAGAGUGGCUAGCGGCUCACUGUGGGUAAUUGCAUUGCCGUAACUGCAGGGAUGCGUGUGCCACUGGUGGUUCUUCUCAGCACGGUCAUGCUUCACUCCGUGUCGGCUGGAGGUGUGUAUUGUGCUAAAACAGCGAGAGCCCGUGCUGCAGCCCUGGGUUUGGCAUAUCCUGGACUUCAUGGAGCCCCUGAUUUGCAUGGACCAGCUCACAAUGGGCUGCACCCCAGACCUCACCCAUACAAACACGCUGGUCCUGAACCAGCUGGGUUUGGUCCUGACAUGAGCUACUACAAUCAACGCUAUCCAGGAGUGAAGCAGUCGCACAGUGAGCACAAACAAGCUCAGCCCUGGAACUCUGAAUCCCCAUUUCAUCAGAACCGUGACACAUACAGCCCAGUUCAAAGCGAAUAUGCCGCCGGACCCAGAGGGCUGCCGGUUAGUAACCUUGGGUCCGAUUCUGAGCAGGUCCAGCAUGUUGACCCACGAGCAUGGGCCCCAAGCUCCGGCCAGCCUGCGCCUAUGAACGGACAACCUCAAGGUCACACCGAGCCGCUUCCGUUUGUCUACGGUGUCCCAAAUAGACGUGCCCCGGUUCUGACCGCACUCCCCCUGACCCACGGUGUUUACCAGAGGGGUCCGGCUCGCCAUGACUUCGGAGGAGACGAUCCCGUUCUUGGUUCCUAUCCUUUCCCCAUCCAACCCUACGCUGCCGUGGCUGGAACGCCUCCUUUGUUUCCUGGAUGGUGGAGGGUUUGGUUUCCUCCCCAGCCGGUUCCGAUGCUGCACAGGAACCCUGAUGUCGGACCAGUAAACCCUUUCUUUAGACCUGUAAUAAACCGGCACCAGUAAGAAAACGUCCACCAAUUUAGGAGAUGUGACUCAGAGCUCUGCUGCUUUUGUAGAGUGUAAAGUUAACAGCCAGUCAUUGUGAUGGGGAACAGUGUGGUUUCCUUUGACCUCCACUGAAUGUCCAUCUUAUCGGUGUACCAGCGCCUGUGAUGCUGUUUUCUCCCCUGUAGUUAUGAAAACUACGGCUGAAUAAAAAAAAUCUACCAAUGCUUCUAAUUGCUGUC
RNAcentral lists this long non-coding RNA (1177 nucleotides) under Betta splendens (Siamese fighting fish). RNAcentral describes it as "lncRNA (ENSBSLG00000022114.1)". Lineage: Eukaryota; Metazoa; Chordata; Actinopteri; Anabantiformes; Osphronemidae. The record is from RNAcentral.